RNAcentral lists this ribosomal RNA (422 nucleotides) under uncultured bacterium. RNAcentral describes it as "bacterial SSU rRNA". It matches the Rfam family "Bacterial small subunit ribosomal RNA", at positions 958 to 1385 of the family's 1533-position model. RNAcentral also lists the same sequence under 1 other name. The record is from RNAcentral.
AACGCGAAGAACCUUACCGGGGCUUGACAUCCCGCGCUAUCCUAGGAGACUAGGUUUCCGGGCAACCGGACGCGGAGACAGGUGCUGCAUGGCUGUCGUCAGCUCGUGCCGUGAGGUGUUGGGUUAAGUCCCGCAACGAGCGCAACCCUUGCCGUGUGUUGGUCGCAAGAUCUCUCACGCGGGACCGCCGGUGACAAGCCGGAGGAAGGUGGGGAUGACGUCAAGUCAGCAUGGCCCUUACGUCCCGGGCUACACACGUGCUACAAUGGAAUGGACAACGAGUCGCGAACCCGCGAGGGUAAGCUAAUCUCACAAACCAUUUCUCAGUUCGGAUUGAAGGCUGCAACUCGCCUUCAUGAAGUCGGAAUCGCUAGUAACCGUAGAUCAGCUACGCUGCGGUGAAUACGUUCCCGGGCCUUGUA